Molecule: ribosomal RNA, 440 nt
Filed under: uncultured bacterium
Lineage: Bacteria
Description: partial 16S ribosomal RNA
Rfam family: Bacterial small subunit ribosomal RNA
Source: RNAcentral
CCUACGGGUGGCAGCAGUGAGGGAUAUUGGUCAAUGGGGGAAACCCUGAACCAGCAACGCCGCGUGAGGGAAGACGGUUUUCGGAUUGUAAACCUCUUUCCGCUGGGAAGAUAAUGACGGUAGCAGAGGAGGAAGCGCCGGCUAACGACGUGCCAGCAGCCGCGGUAAUACGUAGGGAGCAAGCGUUGUCCGGAUUUACUGGGUGUAAAGGGUGCGUAGGCGGGCCUGCAAGUCAGAAGUGAAAUCCAUGGGCUUAACCCGUGAACUGCCGUUGAAACUGUAGUGCUUGAGUGAAGUAGAGGGAGGCGGAAUGCCCGGUGUAGCGGUGAAAUGCGUAGAGAUCGGGAGGAACACCAGUGGCGAAGGCGGCAUGCUGGGCUUUAACUGACGCUGAAGCACGAAAGCGUGGGUAGCAAACAGGAUUAGAUACCCUGGUAGUC